AGCAAAGUUUUGGUCAAGUAAGGAAGGGCAUGCGGUGGAUGCCUUGGCGUUUGGAGGCGAUGAAGGACGUGUCUAGCUGCGAUAAGCUACGGGGAGCUGCUAAGGAAGCUUUGAGCCGUAGAUUUCCGAAUGGGGAAACCCACCUGCGGUCAUACGCAGGUAUCAUAUACUGAAUUCAUAGGUAUAUGAGGUGAACGGAGGGAACUGAAACAUCUAAGUACCUCCAGGAAAAGAAAUCAAUUGAGAUUCCCCAAGUAGUGGCGAGCGAACGGGGAGGAGCCUAAACCGGCUAGAGACUAGGGAUGAGAGAAACUUUCUCGUUUCUAGUCUCUAGCCGGAGUUGCGGGACUGCGUUAUGGGAUUGUCAAGGGAUAGAAAAAAAGUCUGGAAAGGCUUGCCGUAGAGCGUGAUAGCCGCGUAUUCGAAAUCCUGAAACACCCUAGCAGUAUCCCAAGUACCAUGGGACACGAGAAAUCUUGUGGGAAACUGGGUGGACCAUCAUCCAAGGCUAAAUACUACCAAACGACCGAUAGCGAACUAGUACCGUGAGGGAAAGGUGAAAAGCACCCCUGGUGGGGAGUGAAAUAGUACCUGAAACCGCAUGCCUACAAGCUGUGAGAGGGCUAUGUUCCGAUUCGUCGGAAAAUGCCUGAUCGCGUGCCUUUUGCAUAAUGAGUCAGCGAGUUACUGUCGUCAGCAAGGUUAAGUUGAAAAGACGGAGCCGAAGCGAAAGCGAGUCUGAAUAGGGCGAAUAAGUUGCCGGCAGUAGACCCGAAACCGGUGUGAUCUAUCCAUGGGCAGGUUGAAGCGUGGGUAAUACUACGUGGAGGACCGAACCGGUGAAUAGUGAAAAAUUCUCGGAUGACCUGUGGAUAGGGGUGAAAGGCCAAUCAAACCCGGAGAUAGCUGGUUCUCCCCGAAAUAUAUUGAGGUAUAGCCUCGCACGAAUACUCUCGGAGGUAGAGCACUGAAUGGGCUAGGGGCCUUACCCGGUUACCAAACCCAAUCAAACUCCGAAUUCCGAGAAGUAAUAUGCGGGAGUCAGUCCAUGGGUGCUAAGGUCCUUGGACGAGAGGGAAAGAGCCCAGACCGCCAGCUAAGGUCCCCAAAUGAUAACUAAGUGUGAAAGGAUGUGGAAGCGCACAGACAACCAGGAGGUUGGCUUAGAAGCAGCCAUCCUUUAAAGAAAGCGUAAUAGCUCACUGGUCGAGUGAAUCUGCGCCGAAAAUGUAACGGGGCUUAAGUUAUCUACCGACGCUGCGGAUUUGUACAUUAGUACAAGUGGUAGGGGAGCGUUCUGUAAGCCUGUGAAGGUCGAUCGUAAGAACGGCUGGAGGUAUCAGAAGUGAUUAUGCUGACAUAAGUAGCGAUAAAGCAUGUGAGAAACAUGCUCGCCGAAAACCUAAGGUUUCCUGGGGAAGGUUAAUCCGCCCAGGGUUAGUCGGGUCCUAAGACGAGGCCCAAGGGAGUAGUCGAUGGAUAACAGGUUAAUAUUCCUGUACCACUUAUAGCAUGUUAUGCGUAGGAGGGACGGAGCAAGACAAAUCAGCCACCUGUUGGAUGGUGGUUUAAACGUAUGGCUAGGAAGGCAGCCAGGCAAAUCCGGUUGUCAAUUCCAAGGCGUGAUGACGAGGGGAUUUCCCCGCAAAGUGAUUGAUUCUAGCUUCCUAGAAAAGCUUCGACGUGAUGUUAUAGGUGCCCGUACCCGAAACGGACACACGUAGGUAGGUUGAGAAAACCAAGGCGCUUGAGAGAACUCUUGUUAAGGAACUCUGCAAAUUGACACCGUAACUUCGGGAGAAGGUGUGCCAUUGAUGGUGAAGCUCGUACAGAGUGGAGCUAUUGAUGGUCGCAGAAACCAGGUGGCGACGACUGUUUAACAAAAACACAGGGCUCUGCUAAGUCGAAAGACGAUGUAUAGGGCCUGACGCCUGCCCGGUGCUGGAAGGUUAAGGAAAGAGGUUAGCCCUUGCGGCGAAGCUUUGAACCGAAGCCCCAGUAAACGGCGGCCGUAACUAUAACGGUCCUAAGGUAGCGAAAUUCCUUGUCGGGUAAGUUCCGACNNNNNNNNNNNNNNNNNNNNNNNNNNNNNUGCACCUUUACUACAACUUGGCAGUGAAAUUUGAAUUAAUUUGUGUAGGAUAGGUGGGAGGCUUUGAAGCCGGGGCGCUAGCUUCGGUGGAGCCAACCUUGAAAUACCACCCUGAUUAGUUUGGAUUUCUAACCUACUCCCGUUAUCCGGGAGAGGGACACUGUCUGGUGGGUAGUUUGACUGGGGCGGUUUCCUCCCAAAUUGUACCGGAGGAGCGCGAAGGUUCUCUCAGACUGAUUGGAAACCAGUCGUUGAGUGUAAGGGCAUAAGAGAGCUUAACUGCGAGACAAACAAGUCGAGCAGAUACGAAAGUAGGUCCUAGUGAUCCGGUGGUCCCGUAUGGAAGGGCCAUCGCUCAUCGGAUAAAAGGUACGCCGGGGAUAACAGGCUGAUCGCCGCCAAGAGUUCAUAUCGACGCGGCGGUUUGGCACCUCGAUGUCGGCUCAUCGCAUCCUGGGGCUGGAGCAGGUCCCAAGGGUUUGGCUGUUCGCCAAUUAAAGCGGUACGUGAGCUGGGUUCAGAACGUCGCGAGACAGUUCGGUCCCUAUCCGUCGUGGGCGUAGGAUACUUGAGGAGAGCUGUUCCUAGUACGAGAGGACCGGAAUGGACAUACCUCUGGUGCACCAGUUGUCGAGCCUAUCGGCACAGCUGGGUAGCUAUGUGUGGAACGGAUAACCGCUGAAAGCAUCUAAGCGGGAAGCCAACUUCAAGAUAAGGUAUCCCUUAAGACCACUUGAAGACUACAAGUUUGAUAGGCGGGGUGUGGAAGCGCAGUAAUGUGUGGAGCUAACCCGUACUAAUCGGUCGAUUGAUUUGACCUUAAA
RNAcentral lists this ribosomal RNA (2916 nucleotides) under Deltaproteobacteria bacterium CG11_big_fil_rev_8_21_14_0_20_42_23. Its description in RNAcentral is "bacterial LSU rRNA". It matches the Rfam family "Bacterial large subunit ribosomal RNA". The record is from RNAcentral. Lineage: Bacteria; Deltaproteobacteria.